CUUUAAUUUACAAAUAAUUUGUCUCGCUUCAUCCUCUCAUUUAGUUCGAAUAUAUAAUCUGUAAAUAUAUAUUCGUACAUUUCCGUUCAUUUUCAAUCAGUUUCAUUUAGGUUCAAUCAGUUUGUCAUAUUGUUGGUUCGUCAAAUUGUUGGGUUUGUUCGUCAAAUUGUUGGUGGUGGUUAUCUCCAGCCCUCAUACACAGUUAAUCAAGCAUGGCUUGCAACGAACCUUCUUAUUGGACACUAAGAAGAAAAGCUAAAGAUAAGGUUGCAAAACAACUGCAGUCACUAGAGGCAACAGCAUGGGGAGAUGAGCCUGGUAACAUGCUUAGUGACACAAAUAAUACCC
Non-coding RNA from Paramisgurnus dabryanus, 348 nucleotides. NCBI's taxonomy places the organism in Eukaryota, Metazoa, Chordata, Actinopteri, Cypriniformes, Cobitidae. The record is from RefSeq and is a predicted model, not a curated record.